AUUGAACGCUGGCGGCAGGCCUAACACAUGCAAGUCGGACGGUAGCACAGAGGAGCUUGCUCCUCGGGUGACGAGUGGCGGACGGGUGAGUAAUGUCUGGGGAUCUGCCCGAUAGAGGGGGAUAACCACUGGAAACGGUGGCUAAUACCGCAUAACGUCGCACGACCAAAGAGGGGGACCUUCGGGCCUCUCACUAUCGGAUGAACCCAGAUGGGAUUAGCUAGUAGGCGGGGUAACCGCCCACCCAGGUGACGAUCCCUAGCUGGUCUGAGAGGAUGACCAACCACACUGGAACUGAGACACGGUCCAGACUCCUACGGGAGGCAGCAGUGGGGAAUAUUGCACAAUGGGCGCAAGCCUGAUGCAGCCAUGCCGCGUGUAUGAAGAAGGCCUUCGGGUUGUAAAGUACUUUCAGCGGGGAGGAAGGCGAUGUGGUUAAUAACCGCGUCGAUUGACGUUACCCGCAGAAGAAGCACCGGCUAACUCCGUACCAGCCGCCGCGGUAA
Molecule: ribosomal RNA, 506 nt
Filed under: uncultured bacterium
Lineage: Bacteria
Description: partial 16S ribosomal RNA
Rfam family: Bacterial small subunit ribosomal RNA
Source: RNAcentral